RNAcentral lists this small RNA (2914 nucleotides) under Pan troglodytes (chimpanzee). RNAcentral's name for it is "processed transcript". The record is from RNAcentral. Lineage: Eukaryota; Metazoa; Chordata; Mammalia; Primates; Hominidae.
GUAAAAGCACAGUGUCAGUAGGAUUUGGUUUGGGGUUGAAAGAAAGCUCCAGCAAGAUGGAGUUAAGACCAGGCACGGUGGCUUAUGCCUUUAAUCCCAGCACAUUGGGAGAACAGGGUGGACAGAUCAUCUGAGCUCAGGAGCUCGAGACCAGCCUGGCCAACGUGGUGAAACCCUGUCUCUAUAAAACAUACAAAAAUUUCCAGCCUGGCAAACAUGGCGAAACCCCGUCUCUACUAAAAAUACAAAAAAGUUAGCCGGGUGCCGUGGCUCAUGCCUAUAAUCCCAGUUUCUUGGGAGGCUGAGGUGGGAGAUUUGCUUGAACCUGGGAGGCGGAGGUUGCAGCAAGCCAAGAUUGUGCCACUGCACUCUAGCCUGGGCAACAGAGCAAGACUCUGGGAAAAAAAAAAAAAAAGAUUGAGUUAAAGUUAGGCUUUAAUUAGGCGUAGGAUUUUCUUAAUGUUGGUUGCUUUUAAGUUAAGAUUUGUAGUUGUCCAAGAAAUAAGAUUUGGGUUUGGUUUAGAGUUGGGUUAGCGAUUAGGUUCAUGUAAAAGCUAGAUUAGAGAGACACUGGACUGCAUUUAGGGCUAGAUGUAUCAUUUGUUCAAUGGGCAUUAGGAUUAGGAGCUGCUUGUAAUAGGCAAGGUUUGCUCACUUUGGUCAGGGAUUCUGAUAGAGUGGGAUCCCAUGGAGACUGGCCCAGUUUGAUUGAAAUCAGCCUCCAGCUCCAUUCCAGGCCACAAGGCUAUGAGGCCGGUAUGAGAUGGAUGGACAGGCCUCUUUGUCUGCCCAUCACCAGGCCUUGGUGCUAGUGAUGACACCGUCACUCAGCCAUGGUGUCCGGGCAUGGAGAAUGCCUCAGUCAGUACCCAGCCCAUUGGAACAAAAGAGGCUUCCCACCUGGCCUCCUGUGCCCCCAUUUAAGGGCUCCAGCCAUAGGAGUUUUGAUGGGAUUACUCACAUGGACCUCCUCCUUCCAUUCUCUUGGGAGGCUCAAGAAGGGAGUAAGGGGAUUAGCGGAGCCCUCCUGUCAGGAUACUUGAGGUGUCCGGGGCCCCAGAAUUCUCAGUGUCCUGGGGUGGAGGCGGGAGGCCAUCUGCAUAUGAAAGAACCUCAGUGUCUCAGGGGUGGAGGCUAAUGGGUUUAUUUUUCCUCAGAGGGACAAUCCUUCAGCUGGCAGUUGCUGUCUCAGCUCCCUCCCCACCAAGAAAGGAUGUGGGUGUUGGCUCAGAACUGCCCCCUCUUUGCUUUCUUUCCUCUCCUUUCCCACAGAUGCAGCUGUAUUUCUGUGCUCCACUUUCUCCUGGGCCUGGGCCUGGCGCAUGCUGCCAGCCACCUGCUCCGGCCUCAAACCCCAGCUCACAUAUUCCAAACCUUUAGCUCCAAAUCAGUAGAUAUCUGGGGCUGCCUAGACCUGGCUGAGGGCUUUCAGCACCUGGCCCCUUGUCCUAAGUGGAGUUUCACAGACCUGGGCACGUGGGCUGGGGCAGGGGCAGAGAGAGUCUGUGUCUCCCUACUCUUAAAGAGCUCCACGGGGCAAGCUCAGUGCCCACUCUCAGAAGCAGAGCCGGCACCUUCUGCCGUCUCUCCUCAGGCUUGCCUCCUGCACAGUGAGCUUUUUCUUCUCUCCUGUCCUAGCGAAGGGAAAGAACAGCAGCUCCCCAGGGUGGAUUCCCCUGGGCUUGCAGUAGGCAUCUGGAAUGGGCAUAAGCUGAGGGUGUGGGCCCGAGUCUGGGAAGGCCCUUGUGCUGCUGUGGGAGAGGAGCUCCCCACGCACGGCCCCUCACCUGUCACCGCUCUCUUUCCCAGGUCCAGAAAGCAGCCCAGGCCUUUAACUCCGGGCUGCUGUGUGUGGCAUGUGGUUCAUACCGACGGGGAAAGGCGACCUGUGGUGAUGUCGACGUGCUCAUCACUCACCCAGAUGGCCGGUCCCACCGGGGUAUCUUCAGCCGCCUCCUUGACAGUCUUCGGCAGGAAGGGUUCCUCACAGAUGACUUGGUGAGCCAAGAGGAGAAUGGUCAGCAACAGAAGUACUUGGGGGUGUGCCGGCUCCCAGGGCCAGGGCGGCGGCACCGGCGCCUGGACAUCAUCGUGGUGCCCUAUAGCGAGUUUGCCUGUGCCCUGCUCUACUUCACCGGCUCUGCACACUUCAACCGCUCCAUGCGAGCCCUGGCCAAAACCAAGGGCAUGAGUCUGUCAGAACAUGCCCUCAGCACUGCUGUGGUCCGGAACACCCAUGGCUGCAAGGUGGGGCCUGGCCGAGUGCUGCCCACUCCCACUGAGAAGGAUGUCUUCAGGCUCUUAGGCCUCCCCUACCGAGAACCUGCUGAGCGGGACUGGUGACCCAUGGCUGGGGGUGCUGAGGAGAGCCGAGUUGGACUGGCUACCCCUCCUGGCCACCCAGUACUCCCUCCAGCCUCAGCUGGCUGAACCUCGCCGCUCCAACCACCAGCUUCCUCAGCGAGCAGGGCCCAGGGCUCUGGGCCUGAAGCAAGAGCCAGCCCGGCUCCCAGUGUCUGCCCGGCUCCCAGUGUCUGCCCAGCCCUCUCCCAGACAGGAGCAGGCUGCCACCCCUUCUACCUCACCACUGCCCCUCGAAGAAUUUUGCAAAUGGCCCCUUGUCCCAUUUUAAGCAGGAGCAGGUGGCUGGUUUGAAGCCCCAGGUAUCCCCCUUCCCUGCUAUGGGAAAUGCCAAGCUGCUGGGUGGGGACAGAAGCUGCAGGGGAGAGGGAAGCAGCCGUGCUGUCAACAUCAUCCGGCACCCUCUGGGGUAGGAGAACAGCCAUUCCACACGUGUUCCCUCUAUCCAUCCUGCUUCCUGGGCAGCUGGUGGUGCUGGGAAUGGGGUGCGCCAGCCUUGGUGAGGACAGUGUUGGGAGGCUCAGGGGCCCAGUAAAGUGCAUUUGACAUUGAA